Molecule: non-coding RNA, 115 nt
Organism: Triticum aestivum (bread wheat)
Lineage: Eukaryota; Viridiplantae; Streptophyta; Magnoliopsida; Poales; Poaceae
Source: Rfam
CUAGUACUCCCUCCGUUCGGAAUUACUUGUCUCGGAAAUGGAUGUAUCUAGAACUAAAAUACGUCUAGAUACAUCCAUUUCCGCGACAAGUAAGUCCGAACGGAGGGAGUACUUG